This 73-nucleotide transfer RNA is filed under the name Phycisphaerae bacterium. Its description in RNAcentral is "tRNA-Phe". It matches the Rfam family "tRNA". From Rfam's summary of the family: Transfer RNA (tRNA) molecules are approximately 80 nucleotides in length. The record is from RNAcentral. Lineage: Bacteria; Pseudomonadati; Planctomycetota; Phycisphaerae. RNAcentral also lists the same sequence under 1 other name.
GGGUAGGUAGCUCAGCUGGUAGAGCAACGGACUGAAAAUCCGUGUGUCGCCGGUUCAACUCCGGCCCUGCCCA